RNAcentral lists this ribosomal RNA (253 nucleotides) under uncultured bacterium. Its description in RNAcentral is "partial 16S ribosomal RNA". It matches the Rfam family "Bacterial small subunit ribosomal RNA", at positions 524 to 776 of the family's 1533-position model. The record is from RNAcentral.
UACAGAGGUCUCAAGCGUUGUUCGGAUUCAUUGGGCGUAAAGGGUGCGUAGGUGGCGCCGUAAGUCAGGUGUGAAAUCUCGGGGCUUAACUCCGAAACUGCCUUUGAUACUGAAGAUCUUGAGUCCGGGAGAGGUGAGUGGAACUGCGAGUGUAGAGGUGAAAUUCGUAGAUAUUCGCAAGAACACCAGUGGCGAAGGCGGCUCACUGGCCCGGUACUGACGCUGAGGCACGAAAGCGUGGGGAGCAAACAGG